CCUACGGGUGGCUGCAGUGGGGAAUAUUGGACAAUGGGGGGAACACUGAUCCAGCCAUGCCGCGUGUGUGAAGAAGGCCCUCGGGUUGUAAAGCACUUUCAGUGAGGAAGAACGCCUGGUGGUUAAUACCCAUCAGGAAAGACAUCACUCACAGAAGAAGCACCGGCUAACUCCGUGCCAGCAGCCGCGGUAAUACGGAGGGUGCGAGCGUUAAUCGGAAUUACUGGGCGUAAAGCGCGCGUAGGUGGCUUGAUAAGCCGGUUGUGAAAGCCCCGGGCUCAACCUGGGAACGGCAUCCGGAACUGUCAAGCUAGAGUGCAGGAGAGGAAGGUAGAAUUCCCGGUGUAGCGGUGAAAUGCGUAGAGAUCGGGAGGAAUACCAGUGGCGAAGGCGGCCUUCUGGACUGACACUGACACUGAGGUGCGAAAGCGUGGGUAGCAAACAGGAUUAGAUACCCUUGUAGUC
RNAcentral lists this ribosomal RNA (465 nucleotides) under Vreelandella stevensii. Its description in RNAcentral is "partial 16S ribosomal RNA". It matches the Rfam family "Bacterial small subunit ribosomal RNA", at positions 338 to 795 of the family's 1533-position model. The record is from RNAcentral. Lineage: Bacteria; Pseudomonadati; Pseudomonadota; Gammaproteobacteria; Oceanospirillales; Halomonadaceae.